CAGAGUGUAGCUAAGAUAGAAAAGCAUCUCCCUUACACCGAGAAGUCAUUCGUGCAAGUCGAAUCACCCUGA
This 72-nucleotide transfer RNA is filed under the name Ephippus orbis (orbfish). RNAcentral's name for it is "tRNA-Val". It matches the Rfam family "tRNA". From Rfam's summary of the family: Transfer RNA (tRNA) molecules are approximately 80 nucleotides in length. Their secondary structure includes four short double-helical elements and three loops (D, anti-codon, and T loops). The record is from RNAcentral. Lineage: Eukaryota; Metazoa; Chordata; Actinopteri; Ephippiformes; Ephippidae.